UGGGGAGUACGGCCGCAAGGUUAAAACUCAAAGGAAUUGACGGGGACCCGCACAAGCGGUGGAUGAUGUGGUUUAAUUCGAUGCAACGCGAAAAACCUUACCCACCUUUGACAUGUACGGAACUCGCCAGAGAUGGCUUGGUGCUCGAAAGAGAGCCGUAACACAGGUGCUGCAUGGCUGUCGUCAGCUCGUGUCGUGAGAUGUUGGGUUAAGUCCCGCAACGAGCGCAACCCUUGUCAUUAGUUGCUACAUUCAGUUGGGCACUCUAAUGAGACUGCCGGUGACAAGCCGGAGGAAGGUGGGGAUGACGUCAAGUCCUCAUGGCCCUUAUAGGUGGGGCUACACACGUCAUACAAUGGCUGGUACAAAGGGUUGCCAACCCGCGAGGGGGAGCUAAUCCCACAAAGCCAGUCGUAGUCCGGAUCGUAGUCUGCAACUCGACUACGUGAAGUCGGAAUCGCUAGUAAUCGUGGAUCAGAAUGUCACGGUGAAUACGUUCCCGGGUCUUGUACACACCGCCCGUCACACCAUGGGAGCGGGUUCUGCCAGAAGUAGUUAGCUUAACCGCAAGGAGGGCGAUUACCACGGCAGGGUUCGUGACUGGGGUGAAGUCGUAACAAGGUAACCGUA
RNAcentral lists this ribosomal RNA (630 nucleotides) under uncultured bacterium. Its description in RNAcentral is "bacterial SSU rRNA". It matches the Rfam family "Bacterial small subunit ribosomal RNA", at positions 874 to 1504 of the family's 1533-position model. The record is from RNAcentral.